RNAcentral lists this ribosomal RNA (846 nucleotides) under uncultured bacterium. Its description in RNAcentral is "bacterial SSU rRNA". It matches the Rfam family "Bacterial small subunit ribosomal RNA", at positions 56 to 902 of the family's 1533-position model. The record is from RNAcentral.
UGCAAGUCGAACGGUAGAGGGGGCAACCCCUUGAGAGUGGCGAACGGGUGAGUAAUAUAUCGGAACGUGCCCAGUCGUGGGGGAUAACGUAGUGAAAAUUACGCUAAUACCGCAUACGAUCUAAGGAUGAAAGCGGGGGAUCGCAAGACCUCGCGCGACUGGAGCGGCCGAUAUCAGAUUAGGUAGUUGGUAGGGUAAAGGCCUACCAAGCCAACGAUCUGUAGCUGGUCUGAGAGGACGACCAGCCACACUGGAACUGAGACACGGUCCAGACUCCUACGGGAGGCAGCAGUGGGGAAUUUUGGACAAUGGGCGAAAGCCUGAUCCAGCCAUUCCGCGUGCAGGAUGAAGGCUCUCGGGUUGUAAACUGCUUUUGUACAGAACGAAAAGGUCUCUAUUAAUACUAGGGGCUCAUGACGGUACUGUAAGAAUAAGCACCGGCUAACUACGUGCCAGCAGCCGCGGUAAUACGUAGGGUGCAAGCGUUAAUCGGAAUUACUGGGCGUAAAGCGUGCGCAGGCGGUUAUAUAAGUCAGAUGUGAAAUCCCCGGGCUCAACCUGGGAACUGCAUUUGAGACUGUAUAGCUAGAGUACGGUAGAGGGGGAUGGAAUUCCGCGUGCAGCAGUGAAAUGCGUAGAUAUGCGGAGGAACACCGAUGGCGAAGGCAAUCCCCUGGACCUGUACUGACGCUCAUGCACGAAAGCGUGGGGAGCAAACAGGAUUAGGUACCCUGGUAGUCCACGCCCUAAACGAUGUCAACUGGUUGUUGGGCCUUAACUGACUCAGUAACGAAGCUAACGCGUGAAGUUGACCGCCUGGGGAGUACGGCCGCAAGGUUGAAACUC